GGAGAAUACCAAGGCGACGGGCGAACUGUGGUUAAGGAACUCGGCAAAUUACCCCCGUAACUUCGGGAGAAGGGGGGCCGGACACGUGAAGCAACACGCUUGUGGAGCGUGGUAUGGCCGCAGAGACCAGGGGGAAGCGACUGUUUACUAAAAACACAGGUCCAUGCGAAGAAGUAAUUCGAUGUAUAUGGACUGACGCCUGCCCGGUGCUGGAACGUUAAGGGGACCUGUUAGCUCUUCGGGGCGAAGCGGAGAACUUAAGCGCCAGUAAACGGCGGUGGUAACUAUAACCAUCCUAAGGUAGCGAAAUUCCUUGUCGGGUAAGUUCCGACCUGCACGAAUGGCGUAACGACUUCCCUACUGUCUCAACCACAGGCCCGGCGAAAUUGCAUUACGAGUAAAGAUGCUCGUUACGCGCGGCAGGACGGAAAGACCCCGGGACCUUUACUAUAGCUUGACAUUGGUAUCUGAGUUAAUUUGUGUAGGAUAGGUGGGAGCCGGUGAAGCUCGUACGCCAGUACGGGUGGAGGCAAUCUUGAAAUACCACUCUGGUUGAUUCGGGUAUCUAACUUCGGACCGUGAUCCGGUUCAGGGACAGUGUCUGGUGGGUAGUUUAACUGGGGCGGUUGCCUCCUAAAGAGUAACGGAGGCGCCCAAAGGUUCCCUCAGCCUGGUUGGCAAUCAGGUGUUGAGUGUAGUGCACAAGGGAGCUUGACUGUGAGACUGACAGGUCGAGCAGGGACGAAAGUCGGGACUAGUGAUCCGGCACCGGCAUGUGGAAGCGGUGUCGCUCAACGGAUAAAAGGUACCCCGGGGAUAACAGGCUGAUCUUCCCCAAGAGUCCAUAUCGACGGGAUGGUUUGGCACCUCGAUGUCGGCUCGUCGCAUCCUGGGGCUGUAGCAGGUCCCAAGGGUUGGGCUGUUCGCCCAUUAAAGCGGUACGCGAGCUGGGUUUAGAACGUCGUGAGACAGUUCGGUCCCUAUCCGCCGUGCGCGUAGGAUACUUGAGAAGGGCUGUCCCUAGUACGAGAGGACCGGGACGGACGAACCUCUGGUGUGCCAGUUGUCCCGCCAGGGGCACGGCUGGUUAGCUACGUUCGGAAGGGAUAACCGCUGAAAGCAUCUAAGCGGGAAGCUCGCUUCAAGAUGAGGUAUCCCACCCACACUUGUGUGGGGUAAGGCCCCCAGCUAGACCACUGGGUUGAUAGGCCGGAAAUGUAAGCCCGGUAACGGGUUCAGUUGACCGGUACUAAUAGGCCGAGGACUUGACCC
RNAcentral lists this ribosomal RNA (1272 nucleotides) under metagenome. RNAcentral describes it as "bacterial LSU rRNA". It matches the Rfam family "Bacterial large subunit ribosomal RNA", at positions 1673 to 2925 of the family's 2925-position model. The record is from RNAcentral.